RNAcentral lists this ribosomal RNA (1345 nucleotides) under uncultured bacterium. Its description in RNAcentral is "bacterial SSU rRNA". It matches the Rfam family "Bacterial small subunit ribosomal RNA", at positions 28 to 1381 of the family's 1533-position model. The record is from RNAcentral.
GAUGAACGCUAGCGGGAGGCCUAACACAUGCAAGCCGAGCGGUAUUGUUUCUUCGGAAAUGAGAGAGCGGCGUACGGGUGCGGAACACGUGUGCAACCUGCCUUUAUCUGGGGGAUAGCCUUUCGAAAGGAAGAUUAAUACUCCAUAAUAUAUUGAACGGCAUCGUUUAAUAUUGAAAGCUCCGGCGGAUAGAGAUGGGCACGCGCAAGAUUAGCUAGUUGGUGAGGUAACGGCUCACCAGGGCGAUGAUCUUUAGGGGGCCUGAGAGGGUGAUCCCCCACACUGGUACUGAGACACGGACCAGACUCCUACGGGAGGCAGCAGUGAGGAAUAUUGGUCAAUGGGUGCAAGCCUGAACCAGCCAUCCCGCGUGAAGGACGACUGCCCUAUGGGUUGUAAACUUCUUUUGUAUAGGGAUAAACCUACCCUCGUGAGGGUAGCUGAAGGUACUAUACGAAUAAGCACCGGCUAACUCCGUGCCAGCAGCCGCGGUAAUACGGAGGGUGCAAGCGUUAUCCGGAUUUAUUGGGUUUAAAGGGUCCGUAGGCGGACUUAUAAGUCAGUGGUGAAAGCCUGUCGCUUAACGAUAGAACUGCCAUUGAUACUGUAAGUCUUGAGUAUAUUUGAGGUAGCUGGAAUAAGUAGUGUAGCGGUGAAAUGCUUAGAUAUUACUUAGAACACCAAUUGCGAAGGCAGGUUACCAAGAUAUAACUGACGCUGAGGGACGAAAGCGUGGGGAGCGAACAGGAUUAGAUACCCUGGUAGUCCACGCCGUAAACGAUGCUAACUCGUUUUUGGGCUUUAGGGUUCAGAGACCAAGCGAAAGUGAUAAGUUAGCCACCUGGGGAGUACGCUCGUAAGAGUGAAACUCAAAGGAAUUGACGGGGGCCCGCACAAGCGGUGGAUUAUGUGGUUUAAUUCGAUGAUACGCGAGGAACCUUACCAAGACUUAAAUGGGAAUUGACAGCUUUAGAAAUAGAGCUUUCUUCGGACAAUUUUCAAGGUGCUGCAUGGUUGUCGUCAGCUCGUGCCGUGAGGUGUUAGGUUAAGUCCUGCAACGAGCGCGACCCCUGUCACUAGUUGCCAUCAUUCAGUUGGGGACUCUAGUGAGACUGCCUACGCAAGUAGAGAGGAAGGUGGGGAUGACGUCAAAUCAUCACGGCCCUUACGUCUUGGGCCACACACGUAAUACAAUGGCCGGUACAGAGGGCAGCUACACAGCGAUGUGAUGCAAAUCUCGAAAGCCGGUCUCAGUUCGGAUUGGAGUCUGCAACUCGACUCUAUGAAGCUGGAAUCGCUAGUAAUCGCGCAUCAGCCAUGGCGCGGUGAAUACGUUCCCGGGCCU